UGAAUUUAAGCAUAUAAGUAAGCGGAGGACAAGAAACUAAAUAGGAUUCCCCCAGUAAUGGCGAAUGAACAGGGAAGAGCUCAGCAUGGAAAUCGGGGCCUCCCGGCCUUGAAUUGUAGUCUUGAGAUGUACUGCCAACGGAGGCGCAGAUGUAAGCCUCUUGGAAAAGAGCAUCAACGAGGGUGAGAGUCCCGUUUGUCAUCUGCAGUCCCCCGUGCACGGUGUACAUUCUAAGAGUCACGUUCCUCGGGAUUGGAGCGCAAAGUGGGUGGUAAAUUUCAUCUAAAGCUAAAUAUUGGUUCGAGACCGAUAGCAAACAAGUACCAUGAGGGAAAGGUGAAAAGGACUUUGAAAAGAGAGUUAAAAGUGCCUGAAAUUGCUGAAAGGGAAGCGAAUGGAACCAGUGUUCUUGAUGAGAUUGUCGCGUACUCUGGUGAUUGCUGGGUGCUCCACCGCAAGGGGGGCAUUUGGUUUUGAGCUAGAUGUGCGUGGUGUUUCUUGUCUUGUGUGUCACCGUCGGUGCACGAGCGAGUAAACCUCCAGGGAGAUGGUAACUCGUCUGCGGAUGAGUGAAUGUCUUUGGUAGUACUCAUUUGUGUAUCGAUCCCUGCGUGUCUGGUUGCAGUGUUUGAGUCGUCUGGAAGCUUCUGAAAGGCUUGCCCUCGAUGAACUUUCUGGGCUCCUUGAGCAUCUCCC
RNAcentral lists this ribosomal RNA (696 nucleotides) under Azadinium poporum. RNAcentral's name for it is "eukaryotic LSU rRNA". It matches the Rfam family "Eukaryotic large subunit ribosomal RNA", at positions 29 to 619 of the family's 3401-position model. Lineage: Eukaryota; Dinophyceae; Gonyaulacales; Amphidomataceae. The record is from RNAcentral.